AGUGAACGCUGGCGGUAGGCCUAACACAUGCAAGUCGAACGGCAGCACAGUAAGAGCUUGCUCUUACGGGUGGCGAGUGGCGGACGGGUGAGGAAUACAUCGGAAUCUACUUUUUCGUGGGGGAUAACGUAGGGAAACUUACGCUAAUACCGCAUACGACCUACGGGUGAAAGCAGGGGAUCUUCGGACCUUGCGCGAUUGAAUGAGCCGAUGUCGGAUUAGCUAGUUGGCGGGGAAAAGGCCCACCAAGGCGACGAUCCGUAGCUGGUCUGAGAGGAUGAUCAGCCACACGGGAACUGAGACACGGUCCAGACUCCUACGGGAGGCAGCAGUGGGGAAUAUUGGACAAUGGGCGCAAGCCUGAUCCAGCCAUACCGCGUGGGUGAAGAAGGCCUUCGGGUUGUAAAGCCCUUUUGUUGGGAAAGAAAAGCAGCAGGUUAAUACCCCGCUGUUCUGACGGUACCCAAAGAAUAAGCACCGGCUAACUUCGUG
This 492-nucleotide ribosomal RNA is filed under the name uncultured bacterium. Its description in RNAcentral is "partial 16S ribosomal RNA". It matches the Rfam family "Bacterial small subunit ribosomal RNA", at positions 29 to 507 of the family's 1533-position model. The record is from RNAcentral.